Molecule: non-coding RNA, 440 nt
Organism: Lupinus albus (white lupine)
Lineage: Eukaryota; Viridiplantae; Streptophyta; Magnoliopsida; Fabales; Fabaceae
Source: the annotation of a GenBank genome assembly
GUAGCGGAGGUUGUGACGAAAGGCAGCGACGACGACUAGGAAAGCCAUUAAUGGCGAUGAUGGCGAGUUAUCUUUCUCCAAUUAUGUUAUGCGACCCUUGAUGAUGAUAUGCGGUGAUUUCCAACCUGAAUUGAAUCUAAACCGUGAAGGUGGAAGGAAGCUACCCCAAUCGAACUCGCUCAGCAAGAACCACCCAUUAUAAUGGUAGUUCGAAAGUUUUCAUACGAAUCCUCAAGAAGAGUCUUGCCAUAUCACCAUAUGCAAUGAAACUUAGUUCAUCUAAUGCUCCUCCAACAACAUUCUGGAACCAUAUAUUCCGCCACCAUUGAUGUCAUUGAUAAUGUGUAAGUGUAGUAUUGGAAAGAGGCGAGUGUGAUGGCUUGAAGCUCUUGAAGCAUAUAAGUUGUUCUACCUUUUGAAUAAAACAAUCAUGAAAGUAG